This 484-nucleotide ribosomal RNA is filed under the name uncultured bacterium. Its description in RNAcentral is "partial 16S ribosomal RNA". It matches the Rfam family "Bacterial small subunit ribosomal RNA", at positions 28 to 523 of the family's 1533-position model. The record is from RNAcentral.
GACGAACGCUGGCGGCGCGCUUAACACAUGCAAGUCGAACGAUGAAGCCGGAGCUUGCUCUGGUGAAUUAGUGGCGAACGGGUGAGUAACACGUGAGUAACCUGCCCUUGACUCUGGGAUAACUGCGGGAAACUGUAGCUAAUACCGGAUACGACCCUCGGAGGCAUCUCCUGGGGGUGGAAAGAAUUUCGGUCAAGGAUGGACUCGCGGCCUAUCAGCUAGUUGGUGAGGUAAAGGCUCACCAAGGCGACGACGGGUAGCCGGCCUGAGAGGGUGACCGGCCACACUGGGACUGAGACACGGCCCAGACUCCUACGGGAGGCAGCAGUGGGGAAUAUUGCACAAUGGGCGCAAGCCUGAUGCAGCAACGCCGCGUGAGGGAUGACGGCCUUCGGGUUGUAAACCUCUUUUAGCAGGGAAGAAGCGAAAGUGACGGUACCUGCAGAAAAAGCACCGGCUAACUACGCGCCAGCCGCCGCAGUAA